This 594-nucleotide long non-coding RNA is filed under the name Chrysemys picta bellii (western painted turtle). RNAcentral describes it as "lncRNA (ENSCPBG00000025156.1)". Lineage: Eukaryota; Metazoa; Chordata; Testudines; Emydidae. The record is from RNAcentral.
UAUCUUACUUGUUCAUAGUAAUGAGGGUCUGACUAUAAAGCCAAAAUUGUAUUGUUCAUAGAACUCCUCGAGUGAAGGUUUUACAGUCGGGCUUUAGGAAUUAUGAAUGAACAAAAAGGUAGUGUUAAUCAUCAGCUCGUUUAUAGAAAGAUAUUGUUGGUGGCUUUCUAUAACUUCCCACAGAGCUGGAGUCCUAAUUAGUUUCAAUCACUUUUAGCUGGUACUUGCCAUUUUGUUCUCUGUGUUCAUAGGGCUAAACACCUGACGUUGAUCAAUCACUUUCGGAUUAAAUCCAGGUUGCCUCAUCGCAUGAUUCAGUUCUUCAAUCACAAGAGCACAUUGGCGGAGGACCUCGGGGCAUUGGAGAAAUCCUCCGUGAGCCCCCUUCUGACUGACCUACCUCCAUCUAUCUAUAAGGCUCACAGACUGGAGACUGAAUAUUCCUCCCAGUGGAAUAACCCUUCACCCUACUCGUCUGCCAAGCAUACACUACAGAGCGACAGCCUGGCCUCCCCUGCUAGGCACUGCAUGCAACACAGCAAGUUCAAGGUCACAGGAUCACUAUCCCAUGACAUCCCUGAACACCAGAGAUGA